This 244-nucleotide ribosomal RNA is filed under the name uncultured bacterium. RNAcentral's name for it is "partial 16S ribosomal RNA". It matches the Rfam family "Bacterial small subunit ribosomal RNA", at positions 524 to 766 of the family's 1533-position model. The record is from RNAcentral.
UACGUAGGGUGCGAGCGUUGUCCGGAAUUAUUGGGCGUAAAGGGCUCGUAGGCGGUUUGUCGCGUCGGGAGUGAAAACCCAGGGCUUAACUCUGGGCUUGCUUUCGAUACGGGCAGACUAGAGGUAUGCAGGGGAGAACGGAAUUCCUGGUGUAGCGGUGAAAUGCGCAGAUAUCAGGAGGAACACCGGUGGCGAAGGCGGUUCUCUGGGCAUUACCUGACGCUGAGGAGCGAAACGUGUGGGG